GAAUGACUCUCGGCAACGGAUAUCUCGGCUCACGCAUCGAUGAAGAACGUAGCAAAAUGCGAUACUUGGUGUGAAUUGCAGAAUCCCGUGAACCAUCGAGUUUUUGAACGCAAGUUGCGCCCGAAGCCAUCUGGUUGAGGGCACGCCUGCCUGGGCGUCACG
This 162-nucleotide ribosomal RNA is filed under the name Taraxacum glaucophyllum. RNAcentral's name for it is "5.8S ribosomal RNA". It matches the Rfam family "5.8S ribosomal RNA". From Rfam's summary of the family: 5.8S ribosomal RNA (5.8S rRNA) is a component of the large subunit of the eukaryotic ribosome. It is transcribed by RNA polymerase I as part of the 45S precursor that also contains 18S and 28S rRNA. RNAcentral also lists the same sequence under 9 other names. Lineage: Eukaryota; Viridiplantae; Streptophyta; Magnoliopsida; Asterales; Asteraceae. The record is from RNAcentral.